GACGAACGCUGGCGGCGUGCUUAACACAUGCAAGUCGAGCGGUAAGGCCCUUUCGGGGGUACACGAGCGGCGAACGGGUGAGUAACACGUGGGUGACCUGCCUUUAGCUCUGGGAUAAGCCUGGGAAACUGGGUCUAAUACCGGAUAUGACUCUAUGGCGCAUGUUGUGGGGUGGAAAGCCUUGUGCGGCUAGGGAUGGGCCCGCGGCCUAUCAGCUUGUUGGUGGGGUGAUGGCCUACCAAGGCGACGACGGGUAGCCGGCCUGAGAGGGCGACCGGCCACACUGGGGACUGAGACACGGCCCAGACUCCUACGGGAGGGCAGCAGUGGGGAAUCUUGCGCAAUGGGGCGAAAA
RNAcentral lists this ribosomal RNA (355 nucleotides) under uncultured bacterium. RNAcentral's name for it is "bacterial SSU rRNA". It matches the Rfam family "Bacterial small subunit ribosomal RNA", at positions 28 to 381 of the family's 1533-position model. The record is from RNAcentral.